GCGCCCGUAGCUCAGUCGGAUAGAGCAACUGCCUUCUAAGCAGUCGGUCGGGGGUUCGAUUCCCUCCGGGCGCGCCA
Molecule: transfer RNA, 77 nt
Filed under: Nevskiaceae bacterium
Lineage: Bacteria; Pseudomonadati; Pseudomonadota; Gammaproteobacteria; Nevskiales; Nevskiaceae
Description: Sinobacteraceae bacterium tRNA-Arg
Rfam family: tRNA
About the family: Transfer RNA (tRNA) molecules are approximately 80 nucleotides in length. Their secondary structure includes four short double-helical elements and three loops (D, anti-codon, and T loops).
Source: RNAcentral